Molecule: long non-coding RNA, 710 nt
Filed under: Androctonus crassicauda
Lineage: Eukaryota; Metazoa; Arthropoda; Arachnida; Scorpiones; Buthidae
Source: RNAcentral
CAAAUUGUCAGAACGUCAAGCAGAAAUGUAAACAUUAUACUACACAACUCAAGUCAGUAUAUACUGUAUUGUAUAUAGAAGAAGGUGGAGUAAGUUUGAAUUUAUCAUACGAUAAAGUAAAGAAUGAUGGAUAUGAAAUCAUGGUUUAAUAGUCUUAUCACGCUGAUGUUUCUGAUAGGAAGUGAUGGAAAAGAUUCUUGUUCCAAAGAUGAAAAAAUGUGUUCUUCUGCAUCUUUCUCUCACUUGAAGGAAAAGAGGUGAAGAUCAACGUAGUUAAAUUAUUUUUUUCACUGAUCGUAAAAUUUGUUUAUAUCAGUGAAAGGCCUGUUGAUAUGUUUUGCACUUUUAUAUAUAUAAGGACCUUUUUUUUUUUUUAUAAGAAACAGUCAAAGAAAGGAUGGGCCCCUUAUCAUUCAAGAAGAAUACAAAGGGCCCUAUAUAAGGACAUUGAUAAUUCAUUAGAUAGGAAAAUAAUGAGUGCUCUAUAUAUUGAAAUUAAAGAUGCUGAAAUUCGAACUGAUGAGUUGAAACUAAGGAAAAGCUUGGGAAAGUCCAAGCCACCCGAGCCUUUUUAAUAAAUAUUUAUUAAUUCGGUACUCUUGAAAAUACACUAAUUACCGGACAACUUAAUUACAGCUAUAAUCAUAAAUUUGUGUUUUAUUUUUAUUUCAAGAUAUUUGCAUCACUUGACCAAAUUGCACCAAAUAUAA